Y RNA from Macaca fascicularis (crab-eating macaque), 99 nucleotides. It matches the Rfam family "Y RNA". From Rfam's summary of the family: Y RNAs are components of the Ro ribonucleoprotein particle (Ro RNP), in association with Ro60 and La proteins. The Y RNAs and Ro60 and La proteins are well conserved, but the function of the Ro RNP is not known. The record is from Ensembl. NCBI's taxonomy places the organism in Eukaryota, Metazoa, Chordata, Mammalia, Primates, Cercopithecidae.
GGCUGGUUCGAGUGCAGUGGUAUUUACAACUGAUUUAUUAUAACCAGGUACAGAUUUCUUUGUUCCCUCUCCACUCCCACUGCUUUAUUUAAACUUAAA